This 28-nucleotide non-coding RNA is filed under the name unclassified sequences. The record is from Rfam.
UAACCUCUGGCGAAAAUCGUGGAUGUUG